RNAcentral lists this ribosomal RNA (253 nucleotides) under uncultured bacterium. RNAcentral describes it as "partial 16S ribosomal RNA". It matches the Rfam family "Bacterial small subunit ribosomal RNA", at positions 524 to 776 of the family's 1533-position model. The record is from RNAcentral.
UACAGAGGUCCCAAGCGUUGUUCGGAUUCACUGGGCGUAAAGGGUGCGUAGGUGGCGUGGUAAGUCUGAUGUGAAAGCUUCGAGCUCAACUCGAAAAUGGCAUUGGAUACUAUCACGCUGGAGGUUUGGAGGGGGGACUGGAAUUCUCGGUGUAGCAGUGAAAUGCGUAGAUAUCGAGAGGAACACCGGUGGCGAAGGCGAGUCCCUGGACAACACCUGACACUGAGGCACGAAAGCUAGGGGAGCAAACAGG